This 430-nucleotide ribosomal RNA is filed under the name Acidobacteriota bacterium. Its description in RNAcentral is "Acidobacteria bacterium partial 16S ribosomal RNA". It matches the Rfam family "Bacterial small subunit ribosomal RNA", at positions 355 to 776 of the family's 1533-position model. Lineage: Bacteria; Pseudomonadati; Acidobacteriota. The record is from RNAcentral.
UGGGGAAUAUUGGACAAUGGGCGAAAGCCUGAUCCAGCCAUGCCGCGUGUGUGAAGAAGGCCUUUUGGUUGUAAAGCACUUUAAGCGAGGAGGAGGCUACUUGGAUUAAUACUCUAGGAUAGUGGACGUUACUCGCAGAAUAAGCACCGGCUAACUCUGUGCCAGCAGCCGCGGUAAUACAGAGGGUGCGAGCGUUAAUCGGAUUUACUGGGCGUAAAGCGUGCGUAGGCGGCUUCUUAAGUCGGAUGUGAAAUCCCUGAGCUUAACUUAGGAAUUGCAUUCGAUACUGGGAAGCUAGAGUAUGGGAGAGGAUGGGAGAAUUCCAGGUGUAGCGGUGAAAUGCGUAGAGAUCUGGAGGAAUACCGAUGGCGAAGGCAGCCAUCUGGCCUAAUACUGACGCUGAGGUACGAAAGCAUGGGGAGCAAACAGG